This is a long non-coding RNA of Manis pentadactyla (Chinese pangolin), 304 nucleotides long. RefSeq lists it as uncharacterized. Lineage: Eukaryota; Metazoa; Chordata; Mammalia; Pholidota; Manidae. The transcript has 3 exons. The record is from RefSeq and is a predicted model, not a curated record.
CUGGCUCAAAGGUAGAAACUCACAGAAUAUAACGUAUUUUGAGUCCAUUUACCUGGUCAUGGCAACAGCGUCAACUGUUGACUUUGGAGAUGUGGUGGCCAAGACAUGCCUAGGAUGGACCUUCAUCAUUUUCUUCACCCUGGGGAGUUUGAUACUGUUUGCAAACUAUGUCCUUGAAAUGGUGGAACUUUUUGCCAACAAGAGAAAAUACACCAGUUCCUAUAAAGUGGUCAAAGGGAAGAAAUACAGUCCUUAGUGUUUCUAUUUUACAUAUCUGGGUGAUGUAAACAGGACACUAUUUAAA